This 1343-nucleotide ribosomal RNA is filed under the name uncultured bacterium. RNAcentral describes it as "16S ribosomal RNA". It matches the Rfam family "Bacterial small subunit ribosomal RNA", at positions 28 to 1378 of the family's 1533-position model. The record is from RNAcentral.
GACGAACGCUGGCGGCGUGCUUAACACAUGCAAGUCGAACGGAAAGGCCCUGCUUUUGUGGGGUGCUCGAGUGGCGAACGGGUGAGUAACACGUGAGUAACCUGCCCUUGACUUUGGGAUAACUUCAGGAAACUGGGGCUAAUACCGGAUAGGAGCUCCUGCUGCAUGGUGGGGGUUGGAAAGUUUCGGCGGUUGGGGAUGGACUCGCGGCUUAUCAGCUUGUUGGUGGGGUAGUGGCUUACCAAGGCUUUGACGGGUAGCCGGCCUGAGAGGGUGACCGGCCACAUUGGGACUGAGAUACGGCCCAGACUCCUACGGGAGGCAGCAGUGGGGAAUAUUGCACAAUGGGCGGAAGCCUGAUGCAGCAACGCCGCGUGCGGGAUGACGGCCUUCGGGUUGUAAACCGCUUUCGCCUGUGACGAGGCGUGAGUGACGGUAAUGGGUAAAGAAGCACCGGCUAACUACGUGCCAGCAGCCGCGGUGAUACGUAGGGUGCGAGCGUUGUCCGGAUUUAUUGGGCGUAAAGGGCUCGUAGGUGGUUGAUCGCGUCGGAAGUGUAAUCUUGGGGCUUAACCCUGAGCGUGCUUUCGAUACGGGUUGACUUGAGGAAGGUAGGGGAGAAUGGAAUUCCUGGUGGAGCGGUGGAAUGCGCAGAUAUCAGGAGGAACACCAGUGGCGAAGGCGGUUCUCUGGGCCUUUCCUGACGCUGAGGAGCGAAAGCGUGGGGAGCGAACAGGCUUAGAUACCCUGGUAGUCCACGCUGUAAACGGUGGGUACUAGGUGUGGGGUCCAUUCCACGGGUUCCGUGCCGUAGCUAACGCUUUAAGUACCCCGCCUGGGGAGUACGGCCGCAAGGCUAAAACUCAAAGGAAUUGACGGGGCCCCGCACAAGCGGCGGAGCAUGCGGAUUAAUUCGAUGCAACGCGUAGAACCUUACCUGGGUUUGACAUGGAUCGGGAGUGCUCAGAGAUGGGUGUGCCUCUUUUGGGGUCGGUUCACAGGUGGUGCAUGGCUGUCGUCAGCUCGUGUCGUGAGAUGUUGGGUUAAGUCCCGCAACGAGCGCAACCCUUGUUCACUGUUGCCAGCACGUUAUGGUGGGGACUCAGUGGAGACCGCCGGGGUCAACUCGGAGGAAGGUGGGGAUGACGUCAAGUCAUCAUGCCCCUUAUGUCCAGGGCUUCACGCAUGCUACAAUGGCUGGUACAGAGAGUGGCGAGCCUGUGAGGGUGAGCGAAUCUCGGAAAGCCGGUCUCAGUUCGGAUUGGGGUCUGCAACUCGACCUCAUGAAGUCGGAGUCGCUAGUAAUCGCAGAUCAGCAACGCUGCGGUGAAUACGUUCCCGGG